GACGAACCGUCCAAACGUUAUUCGGAAUUACUGGGCUUAAAGGGUGCGUAGGCGGCUUGUUGCGUCGUCCGUGAAAACCCGGGGCUCAACUCCGGGCUUGCGGGCGAUACGGGCAGGCUAGAGUUCGGUAGGGGAGACUGGAAUUCCGGGUGGAGUGGUGAAAUGCGUAGAUAUCCGGAGGAACACCAAUGGCGAAGGCAGUGUCCUGGGAAGUACCUGACGCUCAGGUGCGAAAGCUAGGGGAGCGAACAGG
This 253-nucleotide ribosomal RNA is filed under the name uncultured bacterium. RNAcentral's name for it is "partial 16S ribosomal RNA". It matches the Rfam family "Bacterial small subunit ribosomal RNA", at positions 524 to 776 of the family's 1533-position model. The record is from RNAcentral.